AAUUGACUUUUUAUGGUCUUUGAGGAUUGGACAAGUGUUUAUGUGUAUGAAUGCAUGUUCACUUUUGCAAUACCACCUUCUGCGAUAAUAAGUAAAGUCCUUUCCUUGUAAAGCUCACUUCCCUCAUCUCCUCUAGAUCAUCCAGACUGCAGUAAUGUUUUGCUCCAGAAGAUACUGUGUGAAGUACGAGGCGCUGCAUCAAAUGAGUUCACUGCCUCAUGCAAGUGAAGGAGGCAUAGGAACAACUAGGUCCUCGAGUCAAGAGGAAGGUUUUUCUAUGUGAGGCUCAGUGCUGAAAUGAACAUCUUGACUUGUGUGUAUGUUUAUGUUGAAGAUGACUGUCUACGUGUCCCUCAGAACUCCAGAGAAAUCCAGUUCUAAGUUAUACCUUCCGCACAAAGCAGCCUGAGGGCAUUCCUGCAUUAAUGAGUACAGCCAGCUCUGACCUGGCAAAGUUCAGGCUGUUCUUUGCACAAACUCCAUCGAAUAUUUUAAUCUCCAUUUGCUUUUGAAAGAAUAGCUGGCUCACAAUAUUCAGGCUUAAUUUUACUCUUAUGGUGAUUUAAAAAUCCUGUGCCUCUUAAAAGCGUUACUGAAAUUUGUCUCACAAUGUCUCUGUCAAGUCGGGAAGUAUUGCAAAUGCUGCACCAGGUGUUUUGGAUGAAUAGUUUGUUCACAGGAAAUACAGUUUCCAUCUGAAAUGAAUUUGUACUGAAUUUAGUUGAUGGUUUUGGCCAAAUAUAACUGUAAGAAAGAAGUUAUUUGGACUUCUUAAGAACCACAGUUAACAUCAUUUUAUUUAAAAACAUCCCAAAUACUAAUUUGUUAAUACUUACUUAAAUCAGUUAAAAUCUGUUCACUGUAGAAUUAUAUCUUUUAUUUCCAGUAAAAUGAAAGCAGUAUGUUUUUCUACCCGUAAUGGUUGUGGUAUUUGUUAUGCACCUGGAAUAUUAUGUGCAUAUUUGUGUAAACCUGUUUACUUCCUUUUUUUUUUUUUUAGCAUAACAUUUCUUGUUUUAGAUUAAAAAAAAAAGUUAUAUAGCCUGCAUUAGUAUUUCUAUUUAAUUGGAAAGCUGAGGAAUAAAUUAUAUGUUCUGCCCAAAACCAGUCCAUGACAAACCCCAUACAAAGUUUGGAUUUUUCAGACUAUUUUUACCUGAGGCUCUUCUUGUGUUUUAAUCAGUAGAGUGAAUCUUUCACUUUUAUUCAUUUUUGUUGAACUUUGUGUCAUAAUCACCACUUACUAAAACUGCCUUUGAUAUUCUGUGGGCUGAUGUGUACUUAACAUGUGGAAGGAACAUAGUGAGCAUGGAUGCAGGAGGGUGAGGUCUCACUGCACAGGAUCAGGAGUCUUGCCAAAGGCGUAGCUGAGGUCAGGCUCUUGUGUUCCCUGCGGCGCCCAUACUCUGCGUGGGAGGUUUUAAGUUAACCCUGGCUCUCUCUGGUUCUAACUUUUAAGUGUUGUCUUAAUUUUAAGUGUUCUCGUUCAUAUGUGGAACUUGGCUUUCCUCUAGCUGCUCCCAUAGUGGAUAUUUUUAUGUAAAUGAAUAAACUUGUGUGCUAAAAA
Cygnus atratus (black swan) is the source of this 1567-nucleotide long non-coding RNA. RefSeq lists it as uncharacterized. The record is from RefSeq and is a predicted model, not a curated record. The transcript has 3 exons. NCBI's taxonomy places the organism in Eukaryota, Metazoa, Chordata, Aves, Anseriformes, Anatidae.